Molecule: long non-coding RNA, 473 nt
Organism: Macrobrachium nipponense
Lineage: Eukaryota; Metazoa; Arthropoda; Malacostraca; Decapoda; Palaemonidae
Exons: 3
Source: RefSeq, a predicted model, not a curated record
CUGCACCUCCAUCUCCCACAACCUAGGUAACAGCUUUGAGACUCACUAAAAGUUGAACCCCCUGAAUGAUGUAGGCUAUGGGGCCACAUAAGACUUUGUCCAUCCAGGGUUACAUUGAAAGACAACUUUAAACUAAAAAACCAACAUUUUUCACACAACUCCAGGUUGUUACUACAAGUGUCAUCAAGGGAUAACUACAAGUAGAAGCACCAUUUUUGGAUGGAAAAAACCCUUCAGGAAAGUAUACGUAUCACAUGUAACAUGUAGUGUAACAAAGUAUGAACAGUAAGGUUUUUACAUACAGUAGUACAUAUUACAUACGUACAUAACUUUUUUUUACAGGAAUUUCCAACCAAGUUUGAUUAUGUACAUAUGUACAUGUUAUAAACCACUGUACGUAUGGUUACUGUAUGUAACUUACUAAACAUACAUAACAUGACUUAACUUUGAUACUUUUUUGGUACAUUCCAGAA